GCCAUGUGGGUGAUGAUCGAGGGCCUCCCUGGGCGUGACAGUCACAUCUCCAAAGCCUUCUCCCUGCCACUUGCUUCUUGCCGGUAUUCCCCCAGCUUUCCUGGCGGCUCCUGACUAUGGUUCCGGUCUUCCAUCCAGGCCCUUCACCAGGCUGAAGCAGGCACAAUUGGGUUAUGUAAGUCAUGGCACCUAAACAAGGCCACCAUUAUAUUGCCUGGCCUCCCCUCGGGUUUUCUCUGCUUCCUGGCUGUUCACAUACUUGGCCGAUGUCUAGGCAAGCAAACUGAAGCCUGGAAAAGAUAAGUCGCCUCCCCAAAGUCGUGCAGAUUUUAUGUGAGAGAAUAAGGCUCAAGCUGGAGUCGCUCUUUCCACACAGAUCUGGGAUCCUGCAGUGCUUCCUGGAGAGGAAAAGCGAAACUUUCUUCAGGCGAAACAGAGGUCAGCAACAAGAGGAAAAUCACCGCAGAGCAAAGAGGCCCAGGCUGGAAAUAAACCCGACUGAGGAGUCAGCACUGGGACACCUCUCUAGUAAGUGACCUGCAGGAUGAACUGCUGGGCCAGAGAAGGCCUGUGAAGGGAGAGUCCAGAGGGAGGGAUGGACAAGACAAACCUGUGAGGUGGGGGAGAAGACAUAGGUUCCAGAAGAGGGGAAGGAAGAGUGGCUGCAGUGUGUGUGUGUGUGUGUGUGUGUGUGUGUGUGUGUGUGUGUGUGUGUGAACUGCUCACAGAAAGGGGGCCAACAGGAAGUGGUUCAGAUACUAGCAGCUCUGCCUUGGAUGAUGACUUGAUUUUUUUAAAAUGACUCUCUGUGUGUAUAUGCACACAAGUGCAGAUCCCUGAAGAGGCCAGAAGAAGGCGUCAGAGCCUCUGGAGCGAGAGUUGCAAACAAUAGUAAGCCACCUAAUGUGAGCAUGGGAGUCCCGACCCUCUGGAAGAACAGUGAGGGCUGUAAAGGGCUGAGUCAUCUCUCCAGCACCCACCCCACUGGUAAUUGUGUGUGAUCUUGAACCAAUUUUCUGGGUCUUAAUUUACACAUGUGUAUACUUAAUCUUGGAGGUGUGGUAGCCCAGGCCCAGUGUCCAAUGUCAGUAGUCACAGGCUACACAGGAAAACCCUGUCUCCAAAACCUCAAACCCUAGGCCAAAUCAAAACCAAACAAAAAUAACAAAACCCCUUGGCCUUGAGCGUUCUUGUGAGGAUUAAAGGGGUGUAAGAACUAACACAUCAUACUCUGGCUUUCUGAUUGGUGUCAGGUAACAGUCGGAAAACCAGACACUGUGGGAGAGGCUGGGGUGACAGGAUCCUCCAGAGCAGUGGUUCUCAACCUUGCUAAUGCUGUGACCUUUAACACAGUUCCUCAUGUUGUGGUGAUCCCCCACCUCCAGCCAUACAAAUGUUUUCAUCGCUACUUCAUAACUGUGAUUUUGCUGCUGUUAUGAAUUGUAAUGUAAAUAUCUGAUAUGCGACCCCUGUGAAAGGGCAGUUAAACCCCCCCAAGGGGUCAAGGCCCACAGGUAGAGUGUGGAGUCCUGAGCAGCCAGUCCUCCAGUGCUCUGUUCUCGCUUGCUCUCAAAUAUCCCCGCUCCCUCCCUCCCCUUCUCCCCCCCCACCCUUCUCUUUUCUUUUUCUGCCACAAUUUCUCACUUUCCCCCUUCCCAUUCUUUCAAGUUACAUCUUCUCAACUGCCCCAAAUCUGGAAGAUGUUUUAGAUACAGCAUCACUCAUGUUUAUUUUGUACUUUUUUUUAAAAAAAAAAAAUCAAGUGUUUCCAUGGUUUACACAUUUCUCUUAAUUAAAAGAGCAGUAUCUGUAUGGAAAGGUAAGGGAUUUUAUACAAAGGUAUGGCCCGGGAUGGUUAUCCUCUCCACUGAAGUCACAGUCCCUUAAUAGAAAAUGGCUCCCACCACUGGAUUAAAGGAUUAGGAAGAUUUUGUCUCCAGGCAUCUGGGGCCUGCUGUGUUGGAGACUUCUCUUGCUCAGCAGGCUGAGGAGGGGCACUCAGGAUGCUCUCCAAAGGCCAGUAGCUCCUGAGUCACCCCAGAGAUGCUCAGGAUACAGUCUGGAUGUCAUGUUCCGCUGCUGGCUACCUUUGGCUGGCUCGGUGGCAGCCGCUGCAGAAGUGACACAGGGUGGACAGGCGGGACGGUACAGCUGAGGUCACUGGUGGAAACGGAGGCCCUGAGUAAUUGGUAAAGCAGGCCCUGAGGCAAAGGGCGACAUUAGACACCUGUUCGCCCAUUGUUGUGGGGCCCAUGCUUGCCCAAGAAAGGACAGGGCUCCUCUGUGUGUACCAAUGUGUGCGGACGCCAGGGGAGGAGCUGUGGACCCAGCCUCCUCCAUCUCGCUUGGCUCUCAUUUAAAGGGGCUUCUGGCUGGGAAAGAGGGAUGCAGCAAGUGGAGAGGGGGGGCUUUCCCACUUUUAUUCUUCUUCCUUGAGAGUGGGCACCCAGCGAUGGUAGUGACUGGCUGUGGUGACCAGCCGACUUAACUCCCGUGAGGAGUGACUUGCUCUGGGUCACAGGGAGCACAGGGAGAAAAGGCAAAGUCAGGUUCCCUCUGCACCAAGCAGGGGACACAGUGGAACCUCAGCAGAUUGCGGGUCUCUCAGUCUCUGCUCAGCAGAGUGUGGGUCUCUCAGUCUCUGCUCAGCAGAGUGUGGGUCUCUCAGUCUCUGCUCAGCAGAGUAUGGGUCUCUCAGUCUCUGCUCUUUAGGGUCCCUGACCCAAGUGCUGCUCCUUCUCAAGGUCUGUUCUUCAGGGUGGCACGUGGGGUGAGCGAAGCCUGGACUGUGUGUGGAAGGCAGCCCAGGACUUAAGCAUUGGUGUAACUCAGCCACAUGUGGUGCACUGACAGUCAUGACAUGAGCAGGGUGGAGCUUACACCCCUAUGGAUACCGAGGUAAGGGUGUCCACAAAAACUAUUGCCGGUGUGAGGGUCUCAAUCGAACACCACCUCAGACUGUGAGGAUUAAGUGCUAAGAUAACAAGGAGGAGGUUUGGGGAGACAGGAUCACUAACUGCCGGGUCUGGACUCAUUAGGGUGGGCUAGCCUCCCCACCCGCAGCAUCACUAACUGCUGGGUCUGGACUCGUUAGGGUGGGCUAGCCCCCCAUCCCCAGCCUGGAUGCUCUGACUCUGAGGACAGUGAAGACCAAGUGAUGCGGGCAAGAGGGAUGGACAUUGGGUCCUUCAGCCCUGUGUCUCUAGAUGCUUCUCCUUCCUAGGCAGAACCUCAGUGCCCCACCAUGGAGUUUGGUUGCCAAGAAAUGGAGGGGAGGAUGGGGUGUGAGGACCAGGAGGAUGUCUUAUGGAGGGGAGGAUGGGGUGUGAGGACCAGGAGGAUGUCUUUGGUUAAGCCUAGGCUUUGUUUGUCUGGUCUCCUCAGGUUAUUAUUGGUCUGGGUGACAGCUGGGAAUGGCGAGAGCAUGCAGGAGGAGGGAGUGGAGUGGAUUUGGGGCCAUUCUAAGCUCCUAAGAUCUUCCAUGCCAUCUGGUGGGGGCCAAGGAGGCCAUCAUGCCAGGAAUAUCUGUCCACUCCCUCCCCACUCACGCCCUGAGCAAAACGGGGAGCAGCUCAAAAGAAAUAUGACAGCGGGUCUUUGGAUAGGGUUUCUCUCCUUCCGGUAUGUCUGGGAAAUAUGUGCUGCUCAAAUAGAUGAAUUAAGAGAAGUCUGUCUUCUGUCUGAGCCAGGCUCUGGCCUCGGGGGAGCAGGCUUUCCUCCCAGCCAGGAGCUGAAGGAGCAGGAAGAGUUGCUCUUAGUGGCAAACACACCCGGUAGAAGCGGGGCUCUCAGGAGCCUUCUGACCCCUUCCACACUUGACGAUGCCAUACAAACCUUUUAGAGACUGUGAUGUCUAAAACAUGCUGCCGCCGUUCCCAUUCCUCAUCUCUGAUGGCAGCUGGUGCAGCUCUUUCCCCAGAGUCCUUUCUGGGUCCCCAAACUCAAUGACAAGCCUUAGAGUCAAAGCACAUGCAUGCGGAGCCUUACAGUACAGGCAAAUGACUGGCGUCUGUAACCUCACGGAGGGGUUGGGUGGUCUAAGCAAAGGAGGAAGGAGGGAGGAAAGCAGAGAUGGUUCACUCAGUCAGGCCCUCGAGAGAUCCCUGGAAAACUAUGCACCCCUCUAGCUUAGGGGUGAGGACAGUGCACCAGAUGAGGAAGGUGGGCCCCUAGCUGGCUGCGGAACCCUGAGCAGUCUGGGUCCACUCCAGUAACUCUGGGAAACUACAGAUUUUCAGCAUCUGGCUCAAUUCUCCUGGGGACCCCUGGGAGGGAUAGAGGGAGGAGAGAGCUAGCCAGCACCCUCCCUGACUAUAGCUUCUUUAGGGCCACAGAGGCACUGAGUUCUGAGUUAAAUAAGAAUUCUGAUGAUAUCUCCUGUCAUUUUCAGGUCCCUCAGGACUGGAAAGGGAAGAUUGUCAAACGGAUAAAGAGCUCCAAGUCCUCAGCCUACUGGGGACACACGCAAGGUCCUGGAGCCACCAAAAAUGUUUAAUUAAAAACUGAAAUUAAAAUAAA
Myodes glareolus (Bank vole) is the source of this 4518-nucleotide non-coding RNA. The record is from RefSeq and is a predicted model, not a curated record. Lineage: Eukaryota; Metazoa; Chordata; Mammalia; Rodentia; Cricetidae.